This 1009-nucleotide long non-coding RNA is filed under the name Fragaria vesca (wild strawberry). RNAcentral's name for it is "long non-coding RNA (FVES_LNC005191)". The record is from RNAcentral. Lineage: Eukaryota; Viridiplantae; Streptophyta; Magnoliopsida; Rosales; Rosaceae.
UUGUUUUCGUUCGAUUAGCCUAGUUAGGCUUGGAAUUGGGUGAUGUGUUAGUCAUGAAAGUUGUAGAGGAGAUUGAGAGGAAGAUUCUGUUAAAAUUUGGUAGCAUUUGCAGGUUGCCGGAAAACGGCUGCCGGCCGCCGCCGGUUAGGAGAUUUUUAGGGUUUUAAAUGUGGAAUAUUAAGAGGAGUAUAUUGGUGUGAUUUAUGGAAUUUUUGGAUGAGAUUUGGAUAGGUUUGUGAAUUUCCGAAGUUUGGUAUUUUUGGCGGUUAAUUAAUGUAGAAUCCGGCCGUAGGAUUUAAAUCGUAUUUUGGGGAGGUUAUAUUUAUGACUGUGGAGUAUGAUAUUUAAGUUCGGAUCGUUCCGAUGUAAGAAUAUCGAAGUUAGGCAAUAAUGAGCGUAAUUAUGGCUCUCGGGUAAUUUUGCCUAUUUUGAUUAAAUAUUGGAUUAUUGGUUGGGAAAUUAAUAUUUUAUUUGGAACAGGACGUGAGGAGGCUCGAGCAGACGAGACCCUAGAUCGACAUCAGGCUUAGGCCUAAUUUGUGAGUGGACGUUUAUUUUAAAUAAAUGCAUGCUAAAGUUCACGAUUGAAUAAUUAAUGUCGUGGAGUAUUUUGACGUCAUUUUAAUUUUUGACGAUUUUUAUUUCUCUUGGAGAGAUACCGAAAAUGGGAUUUUCGGUGGAUAUAAAUAUGUAUUUAUGAGAGAGUGACGUGUCGCGUAACCGGGGUCAAACAACUUCAAUUUAAUUACCCUGCAAUCGUAGUAAUAUGGACAAGUAGGGAUCGUUCUAGCCGGGGAAACCAAAGGGCGAUCGAAAGAAGAGAAAUCAAACAACUUAUAAACAAGUAUUCACAUAUAUACAUCGAAAUAUUGGGGGGUUUGAGAUUGAUUAAUUCUAACAAAUAAUCUACUGAAAAUUAAACCUAAGAUUAUUAUAUACAAAUGAUCAACAUACUCAUGCAACACAUAACACGAAAAACCAUCAAAAACACAUAACAACUUCAUGCAAG